Molecule: microRNA, 20 nt
Filed under: Heligmosomoides polygyrus
Lineage: Eukaryota; Metazoa; Nematoda; Chromadorea; Rhabditida; Heligmosomidae
Description: hpo-miR-10117-3p
Source: miRBase by way of RNAcentral
GCGGACCAUUCAAGAUCAUC